RNAcentral lists this ribosomal RNA (467 nucleotides) under uncultured bacterium. RNAcentral describes it as "partial 16S ribosomal RNA". It matches the Rfam family "Bacterial small subunit ribosomal RNA", at positions 28 to 507 of the family's 1533-position model. The record is from RNAcentral.
GAUGAACGCUGGCGGCGUGCUUAACACAUGCAAGUCGAACGGAAAGGCCCAAGCUUGCUUGGGUACUCGAGUGGCGAACGGGUGAGUAACACGUGGGUGAUCUGCCCCGCACUUCGGGAUAAGCCUGGGAAACUGGGUCUAAUACCGGAUAGGACAGUGGUUUGGAUGCCAUUGUGGAAAGUUUUUUCGGUGUGGGAUGAGCUCGCGGCCUAUCAGCUUGUUGGUGGGGUAAUGGCCUACCAAGGCGUCGACGGGUAGCCGGCCUGAGAGGGUGUACGGCCACAUUGGGACUGAGAUACGGCCCAGACUCCUACGGGAGGCAGCAGUGGGGAAUAUUGCACAAUGGGCGCAAGCCUGAUGCAGCGACGCCGCGUGGGGGAUGACGGCCUACGGGUUGUAAACUCCUUUCGCUAGGGACGAAGCGUUAUGUGACGGUACCUAGAGAAGAAGCACCGGCUAACUACGUG